GUUUCAGUUGCCAGCCAAUCCCUGUCCUCUAGUCUAUCCAUUUGUUAUAAAUACAUGUCCCUGCUUAUUUUUUUAGGCUACAUAUUUAAGGAAAUGAUAGUAAAAACUAACAACUAUCUCUUUGGCAUUUGUUUGAAAACUUUCCUAAGUUUCCAGUAAGUGAUGAUAGACAUUUAUCCCUAAGUCAUGCUUUUCAGUACAGCAGUGAAUAAUCUCCCUGUGUCUGCUGUAUAUGCAAAUGAAACUGCAACAAUUAAUAAACACUCUGUGUAUUCUUCAUAUACUUUUGGUGUGUUCAAUCAUUUCGUUUCUUAAGUUGUAGGCACCUAAAGUUUGGCUUGUAUGCAUUUGCUAUGCUGCUAAGAUCAUACAGUCCCCAUCGUCUGCAAUCUGAGAUACCUAUGAGGUUUUAAUUUAGUGAGAUCCCCAUUCUUGUGCAUUUUAUCCUUUCCCAGAUGUACCAAGACUGAAGACAAAAAAUGUGAAUUCAACAAGAAUUUUCAUCUCAUCCUUCACACUAAUCUGGCUAACCCUCACUUGCAAGCCAGAACUGCCUGUUCAGACCACCUUCAUUAAUUUCACUGUCACCAGGGACAGGCUGGAAGACCAGCUGUUGCCUGAGGUUGUUAAUGCUGAAAGGCAAGACUCACAGAAAACAUAAGCCUGAAAGAAGUUGUCACAUAUUCAACCUAUCUUUUCACAAGCCAAGGAUUUUUGAAAAUUAUAAGCCCAUUUUCCUGGUCCAAAUGGCUUUUCAGGUGAG
RNAcentral lists this long non-coding RNA (763 nucleotides) under Cyanistes caeruleus (blue tit). RNAcentral describes it as "lncRNA (ENSCCEG00000019389.1)". The record is from RNAcentral. Lineage: Eukaryota; Metazoa; Chordata; Aves; Passeriformes; Paridae.